Molecule: long non-coding RNA, 1370 nt
Filed under: Marmota monax (woodchuck)
Lineage: Eukaryota; Metazoa; Chordata; Mammalia; Rodentia; Sciuridae
Source: RNAcentral
CUUCACAUUCCAUUGUAUUUAGGAACUCACUUGAUGCCAAAACCAUCCUUCCUCAUGUGACCUGGGUAGGUCAGAUGACCCCCUUUGUCAUCGAUUACAAAUGACAAAGGCAGACAUAAACCAUCUAGAUUCUGUCUUUUCCUUAUAAAUGAUUAGGGAAAUAUCUUGUCCCCAUGAUAAAUUGGAACAAUGUGUUUGCUAAUCAAACCUAGGUUAAUCUUCUCUCUUUCCCCCAGGUCCCUGAAUUUUACCCACCUUGAGCCUGAGAGGUCUGUGUUAUCCCUUCUGAUGGGCCCAUUUUAGGGAUGGGGAGAUACCAGGGCAAAACACUUUCUGACCCAGUAUCAGCUCAUUCCACUUUCAUGGCUUGUUCAAGGUUCCCCAAUCUGUCCUUUUCGACCUUGUUUACUCUUCCUGAUGAAAGAAAAGCUCUCUUCUGCCUGACUUGAGACACUUGUGAAUCUCAAGAUAGGAGCAUUCUCCUCAUUGCUAGUUUCUUCUCCCGAUUGCAAUAUUCCCAUUCCCCUGAAGAUAGAAUAAAUUUUCUUCUUACCUAAACACAGAUUUUUACAAAGUCAAAUAGAUUUGAUAAAAUAUUUGAAUUAGCAGUCUCAAAUUCAGUUCAGUGUCCCCCCGCACCCCCAAUUCAAUUCUGUCUCUCUAAAUGAGCACGGCAUGCUUGAUACAAAGGAGUAGUCAAGAGUUGACAAAGAGGUAAAAGCCCAUGCGUAGCACUUAGGUUUGAUCCUCUCAGAAACAGACUAUUUGUCAAAGAUGGAUGUGUAAGUCAUUUAUUUGAAAAGUGGUCUGGGGAGUCCAAAAAAGGAAGUGGAUAGGAGACUGGGAAGGGUGAGAAAAGACAGAGGUCCAAGAUCUGUUACUGAGCAAGUUACCACAUGGGCAGCCAGGGGUUAAUGCCCAUGGAGACUUCUGGGAAAUAGUGUAAACAUACCUCGAAUUGGCCCAGAGGGGCAAGGAAAAGGAGUUAUUUAUUUACCAAUUUGCCGAAGGCCGGCUGGCUGGGCAAAAUAACCGGGGUGUGACGCACAACUUGUGAACGUUGAUACAGCAGGAGUAGGAGCCGUUUAUUGUAGGAAAACAGAGGUAUUUAUACAUUUUACACAGCUUAUCUUAAUUAGCAUAAACUAGAUACAUCAGUCAACCAAUAAGGAAUCUCCACACUUAAUGGCUCACUGGCAUUACUUCACAAACCACUCCCUCUGGCAAAAUGCCAGGCACCAUCCAGACUUGUUUACAGACUCUAACACCAAUUCCUCUUUAUUGAUGGUUGAGGAUUACUUUCAGGGACCUAACAUCUUAGGACUUCAGACCUGUCUGCCCAUGAGCCUAAUACACGUCUGCAGCAAGCU